Molecule: ribosomal RNA, 253 nt
Filed under: uncultured bacterium
Lineage: Bacteria
Description: partial 16S ribosomal RNA
Rfam family: Bacterial small subunit ribosomal RNA
Source: RNAcentral
UACAGAGGUCUCAAGCGUUGUUCGGAUUCAUUGGGCGUAAAGGGCGCGUAGGCGGCGGGGUAAGUCGGGUGUGAAAUCUCAGAGCUCAACUCUGAAAUGGCACUUGAUACUGCUCUGCUAGAGGACUGGAGAGGAGAUUGGAAUUCACGGUGUAGCAGUGAAAUGCGUAGAUAUCGUGAGGAAGACCAGUGGCGAAGGCGGGUCUCUGGACAGUUCCUGACGCUGAAGCACGAAGGCCAGGGGAGCAAACGGG